CAUUAGGAGAGAUUUUGAAGGAGAUUGAGCCAAAGCUUUUUUUCUCCCAGCAGGAAUAUGAUCACCUAUCUCGGAUUUAAAGAGAGUUUGAACAUUACUUCCUAACUGCAAAGACCUCCAAAAUGAGAAGGAAUGGCUCCAUAACCCAUUUGUGAAUAAACCAGGUGAAGGACUUUGUGGUAGAAGAGGAUCAACUGCUUAAGAUCUCAAAUGACAGUAGCCUUAAUAGUGUGUUUGAAACAACUUCAAAUCUCCGUAUGUUCUGAAUUUAAGACAAGGAAAAAUAUCCUGAGACUGCCACAAAAGCACUGAAAAGCCUGUUUACAUGUCCAACCUCUUAUCUUUGUGGAGCAGGGUUUCUUUUGCAAUGACAGCAACUAAAAGAAGAUUAUGGAUAGACUGGACAUGAGUGAGACACUUUAGGUGUACUGUCUCCCAUUACAAUCAGAUGCGACUGUCUAGUUGUAGGAAAAGAAGCUUGGGGCUCCAGACGAUACUGCAUUAUGGUGAACUGUGUCAUUAUUUCAUUAUAUGUUACAACAUAAUAAUAAUAGAAAUAAAGUAUACAAUGAAUGUAAUACACUUGAAUCAUCCCAAAACCACCCAACCCCCAGUCUGUAGAAAAUUUGGUUUCCACAAAGUUCAUCCCUGCCAAAAAGGUUGGGGACUUUUGCCAUAGAGUAUAUUUAUUACUUAUUAGAACCUCUUAUUACAUUCUGGGACAAUUAUCACUCACUGUUCUCAACUGCCCAAUUGUGAAAUUCCUUGUCUGAAAUAGUUUCUGAGGCUCUGAGGUUUGAUACAGCAGGUGUGAUGGAGACAGCAUGCUUUACAUCUGCACUUGUGUUGAAGUCAGGGUUUGCAAGGGAACAGAUUUAAUACAGGACACAUCAUUUAUAGGAUUAUUUUAUAGUAUUCACCCAAAAAGUCAAAGGCAGAGUAGUGCAAUAGAUGUGUCUAUGUGCUAGAGAUCCAAAAAUCCAGCCAAGGGUGUCCCACACAAGUGCAGCUGAAGGCCUAGAGUCCAAGGCAAUGUCCUCUAUGAGUCCAGCCAGAGGCCCAGAGGCCCAGAGCCCACAGCAAUGUCUCAUACCAGUCUUUAUCAAGGGUCUGCACUGGGAAGCCCCAAAGGCCAGUGGUGAAAGCUAGAAAGUUUUCUCCAAAGAAUGAAGGAUCUGUGCCACCAGGCUGCACUGGAGACAGGAAGAGACACUCAAAGCCAAGACCAGAGCUGCCCUGAUGAGAACAACAGCCAUCCCCAGUGACAAUGAGGAUCCAAGCUCCUCUAAUGAUGUGAACAACCAAGUUCAUAUCAGGAAAACCAGCCACCAUAGAAAGCUUUUCCCGGAAAAUCAGCAGGCCACAAUCUUCUCCUCCAGUUAUCCUUUUAUACUGUUGGCAGCAGCUCUCAGGUUCCUCUUCCAUACCCAGAAUCACGCUGACCCAGUUCAGCUAGGCAUGCCAAGUUAGCCAUUCGUUAGUCCACCAGAACCUGUGAGGGGUGACAGAGGUGAGAUCCGGCAGAAGGAGAUGCGAAACUGAUGGAGUUGGAAUGCAAUUCAAUCCCACAGGGAGCCCUGGAGCUGAGAGGGUUGAGAUAAGAUUGAGACAGUGUCCAACUAAGUUGCCCAAGCGGCACUCAAACUUGUGGUCCUUCUACCUCAGCUUCUAAAGAGGUUUUUAAUAAAGACCAAGGCAACUGUGAUACACGUGGCACAGACUUCUCUGCACAGAAGUACUGAAAAUAGCA
This 1750-nucleotide long non-coding RNA is filed under the name Heterocephalus glaber (naked mole-rat). RNAcentral describes it as "lncRNA (ENSHGLG00100039759.1)". The record is from RNAcentral. Lineage: Eukaryota; Metazoa; Chordata; Mammalia; Rodentia; Bathyergidae.